This 49-nucleotide ribosomal RNA is filed under the name Chaetomium globosum. RNAcentral describes it as "partial 28S ribosomal RNA". Lineage: Eukaryota; Fungi; Ascomycota; Sordariomycetes; Sordariales; Chaetomiaceae. The record is from RNAcentral.
UUAACCCAAGGUUGACCUCGGAUCAGGUAGGAAGACCCGCUGAACUUAA